AUGAGGAUCACCAAACAAUGCAACCUACCACUUUCUUGGGGUAAGCAUUAUCGCUCAAAUGUGUUGUGUGAUGUGGUUGACAUGGAAGCCAGCCAUGUUCUUCUUGGGAGACCUUGGCAAUUUGAUGUGGAUACUACACACAAGGGCAAGGAAAAUUCUUACUCUUUCAUUUGGAACAAGAGAAGGAUCAUUAUCUUACCAAAAAAACUCGAAGGUAAUACCUCUAAGGAGGAGGGGAAAACUAUGUUAACUAUCUCCCAUACCUCUAAUGAGUUUAUGGAAGACUUAAAGGAGGCAGAUUUGUGUGUUGCACUUGUUGUAAAGGGAGAAGAGAACCUGACUGUUGAAAUUCUAGCAAAGGUACAUGGUUUAUUGGCAGAAUUACAGAACAUACUUGGGGAGCCACAUGGCUUCCCACCGAUGAGAGGAAUUCAACAUAGAAUUGACUUAAUUCCGGGAGCAAGUCUUCCUAAUCUUCCACACUAUUGA
Molecule: ribosomal RNA, 489 nt
Filed under: Triticum aestivum (bread wheat)
Lineage: Eukaryota; Viridiplantae; Streptophyta; Magnoliopsida; Poales; Poaceae
Description: partial small subunit ribosomal RNA
Source: RNAcentral